This 356-nucleotide long non-coding RNA is filed under the name Pan troglodytes (chimpanzee). RNAcentral's name for it is "long non-coding RNA NONPTRT002815". Lineage: Eukaryota; Metazoa; Chordata; Mammalia; Primates; Hominidae. The record is from RNAcentral.
AUGCCCUUUGGUCUUGAUGGGGACUGUUCCUGUGACAUGCCCAGCUGUCUGAAAACAAAGGCCACCUUUUAUAGAUAAAAUCAGCAAAGAAGUGUUAGUGUGUCAAUUUCUUGGCUAUCAAUUCCUGAAUAUAAAGAGAUUGUCUGUGAUAUAUUUGUUUAUGAUUAGGUACAUGUCCAUUAAUCCUUUUUUUUGUUUUUUGAUGAGACGGAAUCUCACUCUGUUGCCCUAGGCUGGAGUGCAGUGACGUGAUCUUGCUCACUGCAACCUUCGCCUCCCAGGCUCAAGCGAUCCUCCCACCUCAGCCUCCCAAGUAGCUGGGGUUACAGGUACCCACCACCAUGCCCAGCUAAUAU